RNAcentral lists this long non-coding RNA (308 nucleotides) under Elaeis guineensis (African oil palm). RNAcentral describes it as "long non-coding RNA (EGUI_LNC061813)". The record is from RNAcentral. Lineage: Eukaryota; Viridiplantae; Streptophyta; Magnoliopsida; Arecales; Arecaceae.
UCAGGGCUUAAACUUGUAACCUUUUAUUAUCAAUAAAGGAGUUUUUCAUUUCAAUCAUAUUUGUGUCCAUGAUUUGUUCUAAAAAUUAACAAAGAUAAUUUUUUAUAUAUUCUUAAAAUAUUAAAAAUUUGAAAUAUAUAUUAAUUAAUGAUUAAUUUCUAAAUACUUUCGAUCAAAAGAUCGUCAUGGAGGAUAGUGAUCAAUCCAUUCGAGAUCGAUGCACAGUUCACCUCCCUUAUGGGCAGAUGAGUCUCGAAUCUGCAGUAUAGGGACACUGGGAUGAGAGUGCAAGUGAUUGUUAGAGAAUA